UGCAGGAGGCCAUGCCUUUCAGGAACGCUGAGAAAAUCACCGCGAUGGACAAGGUUUGGCCCAUCUAAGAGGAAUCCUGCUCUCCGGCAUACCGGCAUAUCGGCAUAUCGAUGGUACUCCAUACAAGUCUGAUCGAUCACUGAAUGAAACAGACACCCGGAAGCAGAGAAUCCCAUCUAGUGCAGCACAUCACAUCCAGUGUCAUGUCUCCUGGGGCUCCUGUUGGCUGUCACAAUUUCUCAGACUUCCCUUGUUUGUGAUUACAUUGAUGGUUUUAAGAAGUACUGUGUGGAAGUUGUGGGUUGACCCAGAAGUUCCAUGGAUCCAGGCAGGUCAGACCCUGACCGUAACUGCGGGAUUCUGGAGGUUUUGCUAGAGCUGGCCCGUCCACCCCCACCAAGGAGAGGGCAUGUAAGUGUUCCCAUUAGGAAAUGAAGCAACAUCUGGCAUGUUCAUCUGGCAUGUGGCCUAGGCCAAGGGCAGAAG
Molecule: long non-coding RNA, 486 nt
Organism: Felis catus (domestic cat)
Lineage: Eukaryota; Metazoa; Chordata; Mammalia; Carnivora; Felidae
Exons: 3
Source: RefSeq, a predicted model, not a curated record